Ictidomys tridecemlineatus (thirteen-lined ground squirrel) is the source of this 3615-nucleotide non-coding RNA. The record is from RefSeq and is a predicted model, not a curated record. NCBI's taxonomy places the organism in Eukaryota, Metazoa, Chordata, Mammalia, Rodentia, Sciuridae.
GUCAUUUCUGAAAGAUGAAGGAAGAACAGAGUUAGAAGGAGGGAUCAACUUGGGAUCUGUAGGCUGGGAAUUCUUAUAGGAAUUUCAAAGAGAUGUCAUGAGGACAGUGGGAUAUAUGAGUCUGGAUUUCAGGAGAGAGGUCUAUACCAGAUACAUAAAUUUUGGAUUCAUCAGAAUAUACAUAACAUUUGAAACUUUUGAGAGUGAAUAAAAUUCCAAGAGAGGAAGGGCAAAAUGAGAGAUGACAGCUCAAGACAGAACCAAGAGCCUCCUCAACAUAAAAGAGAGGAGAGAGCAAAGGAGAUUGAGAAGCAGCAGACAAUGCCUAGGAGAGAAGACAGGAAAAUGUUUCAAGGAGAGUGGACUGACAGCCAACUGAACACUGAAAGGUAAGGGAGUCAAAGGAGAGCGUCCACUAGAGUUUACUACUCAGAGGUCUCAGAUGACCUUGGCGUGGACAGUUUCAGUGGGUGUCAGGACGGAGUGGAGUGGUUUCAAGAAUGAAUGGGAAGUUAGGAAGUAUAAAUAAGGUUUUGCCUUGAAGGGUGGAGAGCUGAAACCACAGCUGGAGGGGCUCAGAAUGCAAGACACACACAGGCAAAUUCAAAAUAGGUUCGGAUUAACCUCGGAACCCAAGGUGGGAAAACUGCUCCUAAUGAAUGUUCCUGACAGUGCUAGGCCUCCUGGCUGAGCUGGGGACACAGCCGGCCCCAGGGCACACCCCUCGGUCGCUGAGGGCAACAGAAUGCGGCUUCACAGAGCCCUGGCCUGGGACUCCUGCGGGAUUCCGUGCGGCCUGCUUCCUACCCCACCCCGUCCCCUUCCCAGCGCUAGACCUCCCCUCCCCCACCCCACCCCCAAAGCCCCUGGCUCCGUGUCCCCUACACUUGCCCCCUAGUUGUCCCAAGGAGCAAGAGAGACUGUAGAUACCGAGAUUCAGAAAGGUAAAGCGACUUGCCUGCAGUCACAGUUAGUGGUGAAAUCAGACUGGAAACUCCUCCUGCUGCUGAACAUAAAACUGUGACACAAGGCCUUGCAAAUGUCAAGAAUAAAUUGCUCCCCAGGAGAAAUUCACAAGAAGGAAGAGAAUUCGAAUGAAAAAUAAAAAGGAAGGGAUGGUGGGGCGCAGUGUUUACUUCGGAUCCCAGUGAUCAGAUCACUGACCUAGAGACCAUCAAGGAUAAUGAAGGGCAAUGCUACCCAUAGAAAUUCUCUAAAGGCUUACUCCCCUACGGCCGAAGUUUAAUUUUUUGGAUUUUUCACACACUGAACAACUGAUUGGAGAUGCAUCUAAAAGUAAAGGUGUCCAAAUCUUCUCUUUUUAUUAGUCUUCUAAGGCGUUACACUGAGGUGAAAAAGAACCCUCCCCAAGACACACACACACCCACAUACACACACACCUCAAUCUAGGUGCAGCUGCCACUUCAUCCAUCCCAAUGAGCACCACCAUCUACUGGUUUGCCCAAGCCAGAAGCUUCAAGGUUGUCUUUGAAUGGACAUUCACUUGACUUGAGGUGAAUGUUUUGACUUUAUAUUAUAAAAUUUUCAACUAUAUACAAAAAUAACAGUAUAAUCAUAUACUCAUCAUCCAUUUUCAACAAUUAUCAAUUCAUGGUCAAGAGUUUAUUAGUUUAUUAUAAUUGACUCACCUGUGAUAUGUGAACUAUGAACCAGAUCCCAAACCAGGGCAUGGGGGAUCCAUGAAUCACAUUAAACUGCAACCCACCUGGAGGAGAUGACCUCUGACCUGAGUCCUUGAAAAAAUGAGUUAGGUUACCCAGGAGAAGAAAGGUGUCCCCAUUCAUUCAUUUAUCUCUUUCAACAAAUUAUUAUUAUGCAUGAGGUACUGUCCUUGGUACUAGGAAUAUCUAAAGAAACAAGAUAGAGUUUCCGCCUUCAUAAAGCUUGAAAUUUUACAGAGGAAAGAGACAUUAAGCAUAUAACAAAAACUGUGGUGAGUAUCUCAAAGGAGAUGUGUAGGGCUUGAUAUGAGCUUAAUUUGGUCUGGAAUAUUUAGGAGGCUUUCAAGGACAAUGAUGAUUUGCACUAUGGUAGCAGGACUAGAGAUGGAGAAAAUUGCACAUGUUUAAUAAAUAUUUAGGAGAUAGAAUUUACAGAGAUUAGUGAGGGAUGAAGGAAGUACAUAGAGAUCAGGCAGGAGAAGAGAAAAUUUUUCCAAAUAGCAGGAGAAUCACAGGAAGGCAAAUAUGGGUGUUACUAUGAUCUCAAGCCCCCACCAAAACUCACUUUGAAAUUUAAUCCCCAAAAGGUGGGAUCAGGUGAGACAUUUAGGAGGUGAUAAGGUGUGGGGUAUGGUGGCACCCACUUGUAAUCUCAACAACUGGUAAGGCUGAGGCAGGAAGAUCAUGAAUUUGAGGUCAGCUUAUACAAUUUAGUGAGACCUGUCUCAAAAUAAAAAAAUAAAUAGGCCUGAGGUGUCUAUAGUUCAGUGGUAGAGCACUUGCCAAACAUGUAAAAGGACCUAGCACCACAAAAACCAAAAAUAAAAAACCCACACAAAGAUGUGAUAGGAUCAUGAGAGUUCUGCUACUAUGGAUGGGUUAGUCCAUUUAUGGAUUAAUGGACUAAUGAGUUAUCUGGAGAGUGGAUCUAUUAUAAAAGCAAGUUUGACUCAAUCUCUUAUAUGCACCUCUUGCCAUGUGGUGCCCUGAGCCAUUUUGGGAUCCUACAAAGAGUCCCUAGCAGUAUUUACGAAGAGUCCCUAAGAGUUAUAGUUAUGUUAUUUGAUUUGAUAAGCCAGCCAAUUAGCAUUAGCAGGCAGUUGGCAACCAAAUGCCUAAGUGAAAGAUCAGAAUUUUCAUCUCUAUUAACAGUGAAGACAGUUCUAGAGCAAAAGUAGCUUUAUCCUCCAUUUACACAGACAUAUUUUUAUAUUAUAAAUUUUCUUGUAGUUUAUCUACAAAAUGCUUUCUUCUGAGUAGUAGUUUUUAUCUGGAAAAUCUAUGAAGAGUAAAAUCUUCCCAGUACUACCUGAAGUGGAAUUUAGAAGUCAAAUUCAAGGCCUGGCAGAACUUCCUCAACACCCUUCAACAGGACUAUUCUAAAAGACAGAUACUAUGAGAAGAGAAAAGGAUAGAGAAAUGAAUUCUGGAAAUGCCAACAUUUAGGAAGCCUGCAAAGGAGAGAAGGUUAUGAAGGAAAAUGAAAAGAAACAGAAGGGUAAGAGAAGAAUCAGGAGAGAGUAAGGUCAUGGAAGAAAUCCAAAGGAAGAAAAAAUUUCAAGGAGAGGGCUGGGACUCUGAAAACCACAGUUCUCGCACUCCCUUGUCAGCUUGGUUCCAGUUAAGUCUGAAGGUGGGAAGAAGGGAAAGUCCUUCCGUUUCUGGCAGUGCCACUGGCAACAUCAACUGCAGCAGUUCCUGCCUAGAAAAAGUGGAGACAGUUCCAGCAGCAUCAGCAAUACAGGCUAGUGCAGAUUUGUGGGCUCCAGCUUCUGGAUUUUUGGUUAAUAACUUUUCUUCCUUUGGCUUCUCUAAAACAAGACUGGUACUAGCUUCCUGAUCUCUGGGUAACCAUGUUUUUUUUCUUGUGUCUCCAAAACCUCCCUAUCACUUUGUAACACUUUCCUUGCAUUAAAUCCGUCUCUACUUGGAA